This 486-nucleotide ribosomal RNA is filed under the name uncultured bacterium. RNAcentral's name for it is "partial 16S ribosomal RNA". It matches the Rfam family "Bacterial small subunit ribosomal RNA", at positions 30 to 507 of the family's 1533-position model. The record is from RNAcentral.
AUUGAACGCUGGCGGCAUGCCUUACACAUGCAAGUCGAACGGCAGCACGGGUGCUUGCACCUGGUGGCGAGUGGCGAACGGGUGAGUAAUACAUCGGAACAUGUCCUGUAGUGGGGGAUAGCCCGGCGAAAGCCGGAUUAAUACCGCAUACGAUCUACGGAUGAAAGCGGGGGACCUUCGGGCCUCGCGCUAUAGGGUUGGCCGAUAGCAGAUUAGCUAGUUGGUGGGGUAAAGGCCUACCAAGGCGACGAUCAGUAGCUGGUCUGAGAGGACGACCAGCCACACUGGGACUGAGACACGGCCCAGACUCCUACGGGAGGCAGCAGUGGGGAAUUUUGGACAAUGGGCGAAAGCCUGAUCCAGCAAUGCCGCGUGUGUGAAGAAGGCCUUCGGGUUGUAAAGCACUUUUGUCCGGAAAGAAAUCCUUGGCUCUAAUACAGUCGGGGGAUGACGGUACCGGAAGAAUAAGCACCGGCUAACUACGUG